GUUUUCUCAGUGAUCGGUGUCAGAGAAC
This 28-nucleotide non-coding RNA is filed under the name Cricetulus griseus (Chinese hamster). The record is from RNAcentral. Lineage: Eukaryota; Metazoa; Chordata; Mammalia; Rodentia; Cricetidae.